Molecule: long non-coding RNA, 206 nt
Organism: Nilaparvata lugens (brown planthopper)
Lineage: Eukaryota; Metazoa; Arthropoda; Insecta; Hemiptera; Delphacidae
Exons: 3
Source: RefSeq, a predicted model, not a curated record
UCAGGGAUACACUGCUCCAAUGACUCGAGUGACUCGAGCUAGGCGACCCGCGUUUCGUGGGAGCUUUUGACAGUUCAUCACCCGGUCGCCAUCUUUGAUUUUUCUAGCCCGGGUCAGGAAUCGUGACCCGACCAAAUAGUACGGGCUACGAAGUUAUAGCCCGAGUCACCCGGAAUCGGAGCGCUCCUAUUGUACCCCUAUGAAUA